Long non-coding RNA from Gordionus sp. m RMFG-2023, 688 nucleotides. RefSeq lists it as uncharacterized. The record is from RefSeq and is a predicted model, not a curated record. The transcript has 5 exons. NCBI's taxonomy places the organism in Eukaryota, Metazoa, Nematomorpha, Gordioida, Chordodea, Parachordodidae.
UUUAGCUUAAUUUGGUAUUAUUACAUUCUUAUUUUUUUUCUCUACAUAAAUUUAUAAUAAUUUUACCCACGUAUUGUCUCCGCAUAAUAAAAUAUUUUAUUUAUUUAUUAAUAUUCUAAAAUUCUUUGGCACAUUUAAAAUUAGUAUAUUAUAAUUUCGUUGACCUCUAUAUUAUUUUUCAGCAAUAAACAGUUAUUAAAGGCAGCAUCAUCAGGAGUGGUGGCUUAAAGGCUCAUCAACCCAAGACUCCCUCGAAAACUUUGGAAAACACUCCUGCAAAAUAUUGAAUUUUAUUUAAAUAUUGUCCCUUUUUUCUACAAAUUUUAGGUACAUAUUACAGAUAUUACUUAAUGAUGAUGAAUAGAUUUGUGCGAAAAGGCAUCUUAUUAAUUCAUAGAUUCGAAUGAAGUUAUUGAACAAGAUAAUUUAGAUUGAUACAACUAUAAAAGGCAGGAGAGUCAAAGGUUUCAGAUAAAAAUAAGAAGGAAAAUAUUUUACAUUUUUGGGAGUCUGCUAAGCUUCAAUACCCUGUUUUAUAUAUUUUAUCCAAUAUCAUAUUUUCUAUUACUGCAGCUCAAAGGUUAGCCUUGAAAGUUCUUUUUCACAUCUAAAAUGUAUUCAUAGUCGAAGAUGUGCAAACAACGAAGAUAUUAUGCUAAUACGUCUAAAUAAAAUUUUUAAAAUCGAU